Small nucleolar RNA from Dioscorea cayenensis subsp. rotundata (Guinea yam), 136 nucleotides. RefSeq annotates it as small nucleolar RNA Z247. The transcript has a single exon. NCBI's taxonomy places the organism in Eukaryota, Viridiplantae, Streptophyta, Magnoliopsida, Dioscoreales, Dioscoreaceae. The record is from RefSeq and is a predicted model, not a curated record.
CCAAUAAGCGAUGAUGAUUUGAUCAACUACAUCAUGGCAGGUCUUAACACUGAGUACAACCCGCUGGUUUCCUCUAUCACGACCAGGUAUGACUCGAUCAGUCUGUCCGAGUUCUACGCCUAUUUUCUCUCCUAUG